CGUCGAUGUUUAUAGGGAUACACAUUGGUUAAUAUUGCCUUUAUUGCGUUUAAGUCCUGAUCCGAGGUCUUUGAGUGCAUCCAUCUUGUAGCGCCUUUGUCAUCGAUAUCGAUGUAAAAAGCCAUCCAAGUUGUUAGAGGACAUAUAGAACAGUAAAAUGCCGCACUCCAUAGUUCAGACAACUGAUGCAAGAGGAAAUGCCGAGCUAUAUAUAGUUCCAGAGGGCUGGAUACAGGAAACAAGCCGAGGCAAAUAAUAUCAUCUUUGGCCAAAAUAUAAAAACAAACGCCAUCUUCAACAAAUGGUUAGCGAUGGGAAUCGCACGGGCAAUCCCAACUGGGAGAAGAUUAAGUCGUGAAAAAAGAACAUCUGGACGAUAGAAGAUGCGGAGCAACUGGUAAUUGCUAUGAGUGAUGAAAAUAACUCUGAUUUUAGCAUCACAUCCUUACCUACAUCAGAUGGUAUAAAAAGAGCUAACUUUGAAAGCUUAAUGGUGAUAGAUUAUGUUAAAAAUUAAACUACAGAAGCUGUUGAAGAAAAUCGAUGGUCUAAAUAGUCUAUAGAAUGGUUUCAUGACAACGAUGCACAUGAUGCAGUUGAAUCGAUAAACGGCUCGGUAUCAUCACUAUAUUCAACCCAUGGCAACGAAACUAAAGUGGCUGUAGAAGAAAAUCAAUCUGCAAAAUACUCUACAGAAGAAUGGCUUCUUAAAAUUGACGCAAAUGAUGAAUGUGAUACGAUAAAUGACUCGGUAGCAACAGUAUGCUCAAGCCAUGGCUAUCAAAUGUUUGCAGAUAUGGACGAUGCUAAUGCACAAUACCCUCAUUCAUAUAUCCCCUGUGAUCCAAAUAACUUAGUAAAAAGUAAUCAUCUGCCCAUAAAUGAAAACAACAAUGUUCCUAAACAAACACAAAGCCGAAAAGGAGACUAUGACCAUACCAUACCAUACUCAGCAACUAAACGAAAUAGAUAACAGGCUUUCAAGAAUCGAAAAGAUGCAAGCAACUCUUAUCACCCAAAUGAAUAAUUUGCUUGAUAAGAUCUGUCCUCGUGUGCCUCCACAUCUAAAAGAAAAGCAUGCUAAUAUUAAAACUAUAAAAACUUUGGAUGAUCUCGAAAAACUUGGAAUUUGGCUAGAUUUUUUGAUAUCGGAACAAAUCAGUCAUAAUAGAUUGAUACAAGCAUUUGACAUUCUAUUUGACAAAAGCAUUUUAAAGAAAUAUAGUUGGACAGGUGUAGGUAGAACUGGGAGCAAGAUGCAGUUUCAAUCAUAUCAAAAUAUUGUUAACCUUUUUAAAGAAAUGAUGAGUAUGAAUUAUAAAGUAGACACUAAUGAUGAACAACUUUAUUUGAAUGCAGUUGCAAACUUUAUCAAGGAUUCGUUAAA
Long non-coding RNA from Anopheles merus, 1387 nucleotides. RefSeq lists it as uncharacterized. NCBI's taxonomy places the organism in Eukaryota, Metazoa, Arthropoda, Insecta, Diptera, Culicidae. The transcript is spliced from 3 exons. The record is from RefSeq and is a predicted model, not a curated record.